Molecule: ribosomal RNA, 164 nt
Filed under: Ipomoea leptophylla (bush moonflower)
Lineage: Eukaryota; Viridiplantae; Streptophyta; Magnoliopsida; Solanales; Convolvulaceae
Description: partial 5.8S ribosomal RNA
Rfam family: 5.8S ribosomal RNA
About the family: 5.8S ribosomal RNA (5.8S rRNA) is a component of the large subunit of the eukaryotic ribosome. It is transcribed by RNA polymerase I as part of the 45S precursor that also contains 18S and 28S rRNA. Functionally, it is thought that 5.8S rRNA may be involved in ribosome translocation.
Source: RNAcentral
AAUACGACUCUCGGCAACGGAUAUCUCGGCUCUCGCAUCGAUGAAGAACGUAGCGAAAUGCGAUACUUGGUGUGAAUUGCAGAAUCCCGUGAACCAUCGAGUYUUUGAACGCAAGUUGCGCCCGAAGCCGUCAGGCCGAGGGCACGUCUGCCUGGGCGUCACGC